Molecule: long non-coding RNA, 942 nt
Filed under: Homo sapiens (human)
Lineage: Eukaryota; Metazoa; Chordata; Mammalia; Primates; Hominidae
Description: non-protein coding LHX1-DT:4
Source: RNAcentral
CGGGGAGACCGCGUUUAGAGGAUCAGUGGCGGCGGCACCCGCGGCCCCGCGCGGCGCGGACGGCGGGCAGCACCGUGCCUGGGCCCCCUCCUGCUCCGAACAGCCCAAGGAGCAGAAAAGAGUGACAAGGCCGUGAAAGGAGGCGCCUGGGGCGUAGCCGGCUCUAGGAGGUUACCCCAUGCGGAGUACACACCCUGCUACACCCAUCCCGGAGGAGGGAGGAAAUAGCCAGCCCGGAGCACCCCUGGACUCUGCCGGUCCCAGAGGCCACGCAAACUCCGCCCAGACUCGGAGACAGGCCCUGGCACCAGGCUCUGGAGACCCCACUUCCUGACUCCAGCGGUGCGAAGAUGAUACAAUACUUUCUGGUGCUGACAUUCAGCUGUCUCCCAAACAGCUCUCAAUCUGGGGCAUGACUUUGAAGGGAAGGUUGCUAAGCCUCCUAAAUCCCGAUACACACCAAUGCCGUUUCCCCACUCAUCUGGAAACCUGGUGGGUCCUGCCCAAACGCCUGUAUGUCAAUUCCACCUCCUGCUUGGCGACCCACCAUGCCCACAUUUUCCACUCAAGCCUUUCAGAUCUGCUUUGGGCACCUGAAGACAGAGAGAAUCAUCUUUCAAGAGUCAGAAACUUUGCACGUGCCAUUCCCUCUGCUUAGAAUGCUUUUCCCUUUCUCCCAAUUGCCUUAUCAUCAGCCUGGGAAAAUAUUUAUUUCGGCUCCUAAAAUCUCAGAUAUCACUUCUCCAGGAGCUUUCCCAGAUGCCUCACUUGAUUCCAGAAGGAGCUAUCGCCACUUUUGCCUGGCGAGUACGUUUUCACCGUUACACUUAUACGCUAUGGCAAUUUAUUGGUGAUUUGUCUGUCUCCCCUACUCAAUAGUGAAUUAUUCAUCUAUCCCUGGAAACCUGGAACUGCUCAAUAAAUGUAUGUGGCAUGAAUAUA